Molecule: ribosomal RNA, 277 nt
Filed under: uncultured prokaryote
Description: partial 16S ribosomal RNA
Rfam family: Bacterial small subunit ribosomal RNA
Source: RNAcentral
UACGGAGGGUGCGAGCGUUAACCGGAAUUACUGGGCGUAAAGCGCGCGUAGGCGGUCUGAUCAGCCGGUUGUGAAAGCCCCGGGCUCAACCUGGGAACGGCAUCCGGAACUGUCAGGCUAGAGUGCAGGAGAGGAAGGUAGAAUUCCCGGUGUAGCGGUGAAAUGCGUAGAGAUCGGGAGGAAUACCAGUGGCGGAGGCGGCCUUCUGGACUGACACUGACGCUGAGGUGCGAAAGCGUGGGUAGCAAACAGGAUUAGAUACCCGGGUAGUCCCUGA